GUACACUAAUGACCACUAGAUGGCAGUAAGAAUCCGCAUUUUUGGCAUACAGUCCAGGUCUGCGCAUGGAAGGUUACUCAUCGAAAUACCAUGGCUGGCAGAGUGACUACAUCAUUGCUGGGUCCUUGAACAUGGUGCAUAACCCUGAAGGCUGCUGUACAGAUAGCUGUCGCUGCUCUGUUCCCAGGUCCUGUCCUCUCCGGUGGGUCCUGUGCUGCAGGCUGGUGGAGUGAUACCAGCAGGUGAUGGAAAAGCAAG
Molecule: long non-coding RNA, 258 nt
Organism: Brienomyrus brachyistius
Lineage: Eukaryota; Metazoa; Chordata; Actinopteri; Osteoglossiformes; Mormyridae
Exons: 3
Source: RefSeq, a predicted model, not a curated record